UUGACCUUGCAUCGAGACAAUGUUCGAGCAUGUCUCCCUUCUCGGGAAGCUCCCUCGACCCCACGAACCCUUGACCUCAAAUCGGGUGAGACUACCCGCUGAACUUAAGCAUAUCAAUA
RNAcentral lists this ribosomal RNA (119 nucleotides) under Lactarius cf. obscuratus MH_2_10. RNAcentral describes it as "partial 28S ribosomal RNA". Lineage: Eukaryota; Fungi; Basidiomycota; Agaricomycetes; Russulales; Russulaceae. The record is from RNAcentral.